This 398-nucleotide ribosomal RNA is filed under the name uncultured bacterium. RNAcentral describes it as "bacterial SSU rRNA". It matches the Rfam family "Bacterial small subunit ribosomal RNA", at positions 30 to 429 of the family's 1533-position model. The record is from RNAcentral.
AUUGAACGCUGGCGGCAUGCCUUACACAUGCAAGUCGAACGGCAGCACGGACUUCGGUCUGGUGGCGAGUGGCGAACGGGUGAGUAAUGCAUCGGAACGUGCCAUUGAGUGGGGGAUAACGUAGCGAAAGUUGCGCUAAUACCGCAUAUUCUGUGAGCAGGAAAGCAGGGGACCGCAAGGCCUUGCGCUCUUUGAGCGGCCGAUGUCAGAUUAGCUAGUUGGUGAGGUAAAGGCUUACCAAGGCGACGAUCUGUAGCGGGUCUGAGAGGAUGAUCCGCCACACUGGAACUGAGACACGGUCCAGACUCCUACGGGAGGCAGCAGUGGGGAAUUUUGGACAAUGGGGGCAACCUGAUCCAGCCAUGCCGCGUGAGUGAAGAAGGCCUUCGGGUUGUAAG